GGGCCCGUAGUUCAACUGGUAGAACACUUCAUUUGCAAUGAAGAGGCAGACGGUUCGACACCGUCCGGGUCCACCG
Molecule: transfer RNA, 76 nt
Filed under: Candidatus Shapirobacteria bacterium CG10_big_fil_rev_8_21_14_0_10_40_9
Lineage: Bacteria; Candidatus Shapironibacteriota
Description: tRNA-Ala
Rfam family: tRNA
About the family: Transfer RNA (tRNA) molecules are approximately 80 nucleotides in length. Their secondary structure includes four short double-helical elements and three loops (D, anti-codon, and T loops).
Source: RNAcentral